AUUCUUAGCAAUUAAACUCUUGAAAUAAUCUUUGCAUGUGCAAAACACCGAGCGAUGAAAUGAUGGAAGUAGUUACUGCAUUUAUCACUGGUUUGUGCUGGUAGACCUGCCAAAAAAUUACUUCAUGAAUCGCGUUUUUAUUUAUAUAUUAUGUAUGAAUGAAUGAAUUCAGCCCAACACCUCACAGAUAUUUCAUUGGUUCAGUUAUUAAGUGUUGUUGAUGAAGAGACCAAAAUUGGACACAAAGCAGACGGAACGGCAUGCGCAUUGUGUAAACUCCCCUAAUUUGCCUUCUUUUUGACCUUCCCCGUGUUGGGCUUGUGAAUCCUGACGGGUCAUCUUGUGAUCGGCCGCGUCAUCGUGCCUCCGGAGGGGGACGGCAGCCUGCAGAGUGGCGUUUUUUGUUCUCGGCCACGGUGACCUUGUCUCGUCCAUUCGCCGUGGCAUCUGUUUGCGUCUCGUAGGAGUGUAUCGCCGUGUAUCUUCCCUUCCUCGCUGCCACUUUUGUAAAAACACAAUCCGUUAACUGUGCAGCGAAAUGAAACACAAAAGACGUUCAUGGUGUCCGUCCUCAGUGACGUCCAACACAGCGAUCGAAGGUGGACAUUUGUAAAAAAAAAAAGAUCACUAAAAACACUUUUUUCGCGUGUGCCGUUGAUUUAUUUGAUAUGAAACGUUUAAAAAAAAAAAAAAAGACGAGAAAAAAAAAAGCUACUGUAAACACGUUGCAAGUCUGUGUGUAAAUGUUUUUACAUACUACCGGUAUAAUGAAAUGAUACCGUUUUCUAACGACUAUUGUGUUCAUGCAUAACGUGUUCCCUAUGGUGACGACUUUUGAUUUCUCUGCGCAUUUUCUCUGUAAAUAGAUUGUAAAGUGAAGGCUUCUGUAAAGUAUGUAAGAUAUCCAUGAACUACAGCUUCUUAGGAGUGUUUUGAGUCCAGUAUGAGAAGCGAGCUGUAUAUUGUUUUGAACUGCUCUUUAUUUUUCUAUGUUUGCCUUAACCCUGCCAUCGUUUUUUUUUUUGGGGUGGGGGGGUCUCGUCACUGUUUUUAGGUCAACUUUAUGAAUAAGGUUAGUCUGUAUGUCUUGUACACUGAAAUCCGCGUCGACUGACGAUUCACUGCACUGACAAACCUGAUUUGGGUAGGGUGGGGGGUUGAGGGGGAUGAUCGUUUGACAAAAUAGACUGUACACGUGAAAAAAAGAAUCAAAAUGCAGCGGUAAGAGAAAAGGUUGCUCUUGAUUCAUUUUGAGAAACACACACACACACACAAAAAAAGCCACUGUGUUGCUCCAUUAUGUCUAACUAGAGGGGAAAAGUUGCUCUUCUUCACAUUUUUGAUUGACAAACACACUGGAAAAAUUCACCCGGUGCGUUUGCUGUUCUUGUACUCGAAGGAUUAAGUGUCAUUUGACUUGAAGACCGUGUUGUGAGUUUGCUGUAAAACAUUCUCCGGUGAAUAAAUAUUUUAGUUGUUUACUUUA
Hippocampus zosterae (dwarf seahorse) is the source of this 1486-nucleotide long non-coding RNA. RefSeq lists it as uncharacterized. Lineage: Eukaryota; Metazoa; Chordata; Actinopteri; Syngnathiformes; Syngnathidae. The record is from RefSeq and is a predicted model, not a curated record. The transcript is spliced from 2 exons.